GUCAUUUCCCAGUCUAAUCAGCCAGCUGGACGCAAUUAAAAUCCCGACUUUCCAUGCCGAAACGUCACACCUGCUUAGUAGAUAACAGUUACCAAAAAUUCUUUCCUCUAUCUGUUAUCAUUUUCGAUUCACUCAUCAUUUGAAACAUCUUCAAUCCGAGUUCCUUGGCCACUCUUCUUCCAAGGCAACUUCAUUGCAGAUCGGCGUAUCCCUUACCAGUGCCUAUGCUAGAAACAAAGAUGAGACAUUGGCAUGAAGGGUCGUUUUUGAGGCUUUUAUCUCUCCCAUCUGAUCUCGAACAACAAUCCCCGAUGCUGAUCUGGAAUUGUUUGCAUCAAAAGCUACAUCGAAUUGUAUUAUGUCCCUUGUUGUCUCCUCCCUUUGCUUUUGUGUUCUGGUAGUCCCCAAGGGCAUUGCUGAAGACAUGGAAGCUGUCCUCUUCCCCGGACCAACAUCGAGGGCAUCUCACAUUUGUGGUUAUUCGCUUGCAUCAGAGAUUGACUAGUGUAGGAAUAUAGUUCUAGAAUAUCCGCCAGAAUAGAAGUAGAAUUUUUUAUGGAAUUUGUAAAUUCCAAAGUUUUCUGUAUAAUUCUUUAGUAUCGGUCUAUAAUAAAUAACUAUUAGGAUCCAGAAAGUUCACCUUUCCAAACGAGCAAGUCUUCGCAGUUUGUUACUGCAAGUGGGAUCUGCAAAAUUCUUUGAGUAAUGUCCGUUUGAAAGAUAACAGGUUCUACCCUUGGAAUCCACUGACCUGUCCAAAUGGAGAUGCCAUUUCCUCUCCCAACUCUCCAACUUAGCCCUUGAAGAAUUAGUCCCUUUGCAACCCAAAUACUCUUCCAUGUAAGAGAAGGUGACCGACCAAGGGUUCUUUAAGAGGCUUAAUUGCUAAAAUCUCUAUGAAGAGAUGAUGCUAGGCGUGGGAAUGAGAAAGGCUAAGAGGAUUUGGAGAAAAGAGAGAAUGAUGAAUGAUGAAAAUGAAUGAGGAAUGAUUGUAGGAUGCUUGAGGGAUGCUUGAAAGGUGCUUCAAGGAUGAUGUAUGAAGGAAUGAGAGGGUCUUAUUUAUAGGUGAGGAGAGGGGGAUAGUUUGCUAAAAAUAGUGGAUGUUAACCUUUUCAAAUCUCCUCAAAUUGUGGCCAGCCAUGCUUAGUGGCUUUUAACUUGAUUUUUUUUCUUGAUUUUUAAGCAAUUUUAUAUGCCACACAACUCAGGACUGACACUCGGUCAAUGGUAAAUCUUUGGGAAAAUCUCUAAUUUCUUCAACACUACAAGGACCUUGUGUAAUUAAACCAAAGAAUAGUUUAAAUGGACAACCAUGUGUAGCCGAAUAUUGGGUUGACUUGGUCUCCAAUUUGGACAGUUUUGUAAUCUAGCAAAGCUAUCAGACCUAUCCAGAACAAAUUAACAAGUUAGAGGACCAAAGAAUAAAAUUUAUUAAAUAAAAUUUUAUAUUUUAUUAUUUAAUUUAAUCAUGCAUGGCCCACUUUAUGUAAAAAGGUGAUAAAUUACAUAGGAAAAAUCCUAUAUAUUUUUUCGUUUACACAGCCCUAAACUUAAAUCAUUGCUUGUCCCGAGUAAUUUUUAUGCAUAGCAAAAGGUCUUGCUAAGGAAAAAUUGCUAAUUGUGUAAGUAGCAUCAAUCUUUGUCCCAUAAUCAUGCAUUAAUAACUUCAUGCUUAUCGAUCUUCUUUAUUAACAAGUAAUUCAUAUGCAAACAUUCCUUAAGAUUAUACUAAGCUUCAAAAUAUGCUAACAUGAAUCAUAGUUUGCAUGUAUGUCCCAGUCAUAGUUAACAUUCUUCAUUCAACAUAAUUUCCUAUCAAUCAAGCAAACAAUCACAAGGCUUAUUUAUGAUUUUUAUAUGUUGAACUUAAGACUUCCUCUCCACUAAUGUUGGUGACAUAAUCAUCAAAUCAAUAGGUCUUUUAUAAGGUUGUAAUGGGGCUCAGUUAAAGGUAGGGAUUUUAAGAGAUAAGACAUUUCGGUUUUAAAAAUCUUAACCUUUACCUUUGUCUUGAUUUUCUCGUACUACAACUUUUUUAUUUAAGUGAACCUUUGGAACACUCCCAAACUUAGUUUGAACUCAAGCUCAUACAUUUUUCCUUUUUGAAGACUGAGCAAAUUUUUCUUCGCUCUUUUUUUUUAAGCAUGAGCACAUACAUCUUUAUGAAAAUUUCCUCAAAUGUUGAUUCCUAAGACAACUUUAGUUAAAAUAGGUGCACAAAAUUAGGAAAAUUUUGAAAAGAUGGUAACUGGCUUAUAAUGUAGGUUCAUUGCAAAAACAGGCCUUUAAGCUAAAAAUUACAGUUUCAAGGGUCUAAUAUCAUAGGGUUGGCUUGAAAAGGCUCAAACGGUCCAAAGAAUUAGUGCCUAUAUCAUUUUAGAUUUUUAUGUCCCUUAGGAUUUCGCCUCAAGAAAGUUACUAAGUCAAUUCUAAAGAUAUAAACCUUCAUGCAUGUCUAAUCUCAAAAGAAACUAAGUUUUCAUAGCAAACAUUACUAAAGCUAAGAUCAUACAAGCAUUCCAUUCUUCAUGGUAACAUACUUUCACUUAGAUAAAAUCAUCAUUCAUACUUGCAUACAGACUAUCUCAAUAACAAAAAAAUAUCUCUAAACAUUCAUUUACUAAAACAUACUUAUGAAAGAAAUAAUUGAAGCAUACUUGAAAAAGUUUUAAAAGUUUGAGCAAUUUAUUUACCUUACCCCCUUUAAAAAGAAGUAAUGUCCUCAUUGCAAGAACAAAAUAAUGAAUGAAAAUUGAACACCAGUAAAAAAAUGGAGGUGAGUCAUUAAGACUACUUAAAUACCAAGUCUUCCCUAAUAUCCCAAUCCUAGACAUGUUCAUUCCUAUUACCACAUCACUUAGUCUUAUUCUUUCUAAAGAAGUGUUAAGUUUGUUCAUGCUUGCUAUGUUUUAUUUUGCAGAAAUUAAAUCCUAAUUACGAAGAAAAAUUCCUAAAGACCUAAAAAUAAUUAAAUAAAUAACAGGACAAGAAUCCCUCCUUUUAUUUUUCUGACUUAUUCCUCUUGUCUUCUUUAGCUCCAUCUCCGCUUGCAUUGUCAGUAUCUUCCAUCCAUGUCUCAAAGAUAGCAUCUGGGAACCCAGGACAAAAGUAUUAGAGAUUUUCUUAAAAAGUAUUUUGAAUUGAUUCAUCUCUAAUUUUUUUCAUAUUUCUAGUAAGUUUGUUAUUGAUUGUGCAUGGACUUGCACAUAUCCAUCAAAAUUGACAACUCCAAUUUCUUUGACUGGUUCUUCUUCUGGCUCAACCCUUGGUUCAAGAAUGUUCAGUUCCUUAUCAGACUCUUCCUCUUCAGUGUCUAUGACUGAAUUAGCUUCAGUUUCAGUUCCAUCUGUUGACUACUUUGUAUCCGGCUCAGUUGGCUCUUCUUGCUCACAUUGAUUUAGUUCAUGCACUCUCUUUACCAAUCUUUCAAGAUCAUAAUUUGUAAUGCAUACUUGAACAUAUCGCCCCUUCAGAUUCACUUAUGUUUUAACAUGGGCCUUUAAGCAAUGUGAAGUGAUUAAUGAUGGGAAAUAAGCACUUCCUGCUUUCUUUUUAGCACAAUCAUGAAUCUCCUUAAGGAUAAUUUUCCCAACAUUAAUGGACUUUUCUGUCAAAAUUGCAUAUAACAAAAGCAUCCGUUCUAUCGAGAUGGUGGAACUAUGUGAGAUAGGCAUAAAACUGUAGCGAACGAAAUAAAACCAUACCUUUGCUACUCGUUUUAAGUAUUCUCUUCGAAAAGAAUGGCUCUCAUACUUUCUUAUAAUCCAUUAAGAUCCCGAAUUUUUCACAACAUCAAGCACUUGUUGAAGAAAAUCCCAAUUGAUAUUGUUCAUCAUAGGGUAGUACUCAUCUUCUUCAACAUCAGGUAAAUUAAACAAAUCAUUGAUGAACUUAGAAGUAAGAGGUACCUUUUUCUUUCGAACGAUGAUUUCAGUAGCAUCUUGCGUAGUCAAACUAGCAUAGAAUUCUCGAACUAGUUCAUCAUCGGGAAGUAAACGAGCAUUACAAAAUCGUUCCCACUUGAGAGCAUUGAUUUUCUUUCUAAUCGGUAUAGGAACAACCAUCAAAUCAUUACUCUUAAAGUCAAAACCUUUUUUCGGCAUCAUAGGUUGAUGCUUGAAGAUUGAAUCAAAUCUCUCUUUCACUUCUUCAUCGAUCAAAAUCGGGUUUUCAGGUCUUUGAAGAUUUGAUUCUUUUGCGAGAUAUGGUAUCUUUUCCAGAAAAUUUGGCAAAGUUUCUACACAAAAGAGAAAAGAGAAUUCGGCAAAGUAGGUAGAACUUGCUACGGAAAAAAUCUUACGAUGGCAAAAGGGAAUUUCAACAAAAAGGGAAGAGAACUACGGUUUCUUUCGAAAUUUGAGGUUGACGGCACAAAAGGGAGAUUUAGGGAUUUUUAGGGUGUAAGCAAAUUACUUUGAGGGAUAUGAAGAUUAGUAGAUUUGAAAGGGGUUUAUAUAGGAAAAAUUAGGGCAACAUGUAGCAAAAAAUUAGCUAUAUUAGGGUUGCUUGGGCGGCGAGCAAUGGGUGUGACGGCAAGGCAUGGAUUUUCCCUCCUUUUUGCUGUCUUGGGCCUCAAACUCAGACUAUAUCUUACUAAAAAAAUGAUUAGUACUUGGGCCAAAUUUGACCCCCUUUAUCAACAUAAAAAUUUAAAAUUUAAACAGAACAAAUGAAAUUUAAAAAAUAAAUUUAAGUCUUAAUUAGAAAAUUUCUUCUUAACAAAUUACAUUAAAUUAAUUCCCAGGAAAGGUUGGAGGGGUCACAACGGUCCCGCUUAAGUUCCAAUCUCCUUAGACAGAAUUAAUUAAAUGUAAUAAGUUAAGAAAAUAAGUUCUAAUUAUUUAUUUAUUUACAAAAUGAGUUCAUGAAAAAUUAAAGGUCUGUUAAUUUGAACGAGGAUUCAACUCGCUCAACUUCACUAUCCCAGUAGUGUUUGAGACGUUGACCAUUAACUUUAAAUGUACCUCCGUAAUUGUUGUACAAUUCAAUAGCUCCAUACGGAUAAACUUGGUAGAUGAUAUAAGGUCUUUUCCAUUGGGAUUUAAGCUUCCCAGGAAAUAACUUCAACCUUGAAUUAAACAACAAAACCUUCUGACCUUCUUUAAACUUGCGAGGUUGUAUAUGACUAUCAUGCCAUCUUUUUUAUCUUUCUUUCCACAUUUGGACAUUCUCAUAGGAAAACAACUUCAACUCUUCCAACUCAUCAAGUUGUAACAUCUUGCUCUCACCGGCUUGCUUAAGAUCAAAGUUCAACUGCUUCAAAGCCUAGUAAGCUUUAUUCUCCAACUCUAAUGGCAAAUGACAUGCCUUCCCAAAGACUAACCGAUAAGGAGUCAUUUCUAACAGAGUCUAAAAUGCUGUUCAAUAGGCCCAUAAUGUAUCAUCGAGCCUUCGAUACCAAUCUUUCUGCUAGGGCGUACUACAUUUUCAAGGAUAGCCUUGAUUUCGCGAUUCACUCUUUCAACUUGCCCAUUAGACUGGGGUGAUAGGCAGUAGCAAUCUUGUGCUUCACAUCAUAUUUUUCAAGCAACCACUUAAGCCAUUUGUUCACAAAGUCAGAACCUUCAUCACUAAUAAUAGCUCUUGGUGUCCCAAAUCGUGUAAACACAUGCUUAUGUAGGAAUCGCAUGACUACCUUAGCAUCAUUUGUAGGGUAUGCUUAAGCUUCAACCCACUUGGAUACAUAGUCCACAGUAACUAAGAUGUAUUUGUUCCCAUACGAAUAAGGAAACGGGCCUAAGAAGUCAAUACCUCAUAUGUCGAACAAUUCAAUCUCCAAAAUGUUUGUUAAGUGCAUUUCAUUCCUACUUGAUAUAUUUCCAGUCCUUUGGCAUUUAUCAUAGUUCUUCACAUAAGCACAAGUAUCUUUAAAUAGUGUAGGCCAAAAGAAACCUGCUUGCAAAAUCUUUGCUGCAGUAUGUGAACCACCAAAGUGUCCCCCACUUGGAGAUGAAUGGCAAUGAUACAAGAUCUCAGCAAUCUUGCUUUCAGCUACAUAUUUUCGGAUUAUAUUAUCUACACAUUGUUUAAACAAAAAUGGAUUCUCCCAAAGAUAAUACCGACUAUCAUGAAGGAAUUUUUUCCUUUGUUGGUAUGUCAUUUCUCGAGGAAUUAUUCAACAUGCAAAAUAAUUGGCAAAAUCAGCAAACCAGGGUAUUUCAUGAAUUCGAUUUACCUUAAAUAAGUGUUCAUCUGAGAAAUUCUCGUUGAUAGGCACAUAUGACUGAGUUACCUCAUCUUGCUCCAACCUCGACAGAUGAUCAGCUAUUUGAUUUUCGACACCUUUUCUGUAUUGGAUCUCAAGGUCAAAUUCAUGGAGUAAAAGUAUCCAACGAAUUAGCCUUGGUUUUGCAUAUUUCCUUAUGAGCAAGUAUUUAAUGGCCGCAUGGUUAGUAAAUAAUGUAACUUUGGUACCUAUAAGAUAUUAGUGGAAUUUGUCAAAAGAAAAAACUAUAGCGAAGAUUUCCUUUUCUGUUACUGUAUAAUUGCGUUGGGCUCUCGUCAAAGUUCUACUUGCAUAGUAAAUAGGGUGAAACACUUUAUUUCUUCUUAGACCCAUCACAGCUCCAACGACAUAGUCACUUGUAUCGCACAUCAACUCAAAAGGUGAGUUCCAAUCAGGUGUAACGAUUAUUGGGGCUGAGAUUAACCGCUUCUUUAGCUCUUCAAAAGCUUCCAGACAUGCUUUGUUGAAAUCAAGCACUGUAUCUUUCUCUAUCAACAAACACAACGGUUUAGAAAUUUUCGAGAAAUCUUUGAUAAACCUUCGAUAAAAAUCGGCAUGGCCUAAGAAACUUCUGAUUCCUUUCACAUUCAUUGGGGCCGGUAAUCUUUCGAUUACGUCCAUUUUUGAUUUAUUGACUUCAAUUUAUUUUUUUGAAAUCUUAUGAACUAAGACAAUCCCUUCAUUGACCAUAAAAUGACAUUUUUCCCAAUUAAGGACCAGAUUCGUCUCUUCGCAUCUCUUCAGUACCUUAGCCAAAUUACUCAAACAAAUAUCAUAAGUGUUACCAAAAAUAGAAAAAUCAUCCAUGAAAACCUGAACAAAAUUUUUAACUAUAUCAGUAAAUAUUGCCAUCAUGCAUCGUUGAAAAGUUACAGGUGCAUUGCAUAAACCUAAAGGCAUUCGCCUAAAAGCAAACAUAUCGUAUAGACAAGUAAAGGUUGUUUUAUGUUGGUCCUCUAGGGCUACAACUAUUUGGUUAUAUCCUGAAUAGCCAUCUAAAAAAUAAUAUAAUUCAUUACCUACCAGUCGAUCUAACAUCUGAUCCAUAAAAGGCAACGGAAAAUGGUCCUUCCAAGUGGCUUUGUUCAACUUUCUGUAAUCAAUAUAGAUUCUUCAUCCGGUAAUAGUCCUUGUUAGAAUUAACUCAUUAUGCUCAUUUUUAACAAUCGUGAUUCCACAUUUCUUCGACACACACUGCACCGGACUUACCCACGAACUUUCUAAAAUAGGAUAGAUGAUUUCUACAUCUAACCAUUUGAUCACUUCCUUUCUCACAACUUCUUUCAUAAUAGGAUUGAGCCUCCUUUGCCCAUCAAUUCGAGCUCUUUCACCGUCUUCUAAAAUGAUUUUAUGCAUGCAAAAAGAUGGGCUUAUACCUCGAAUAUCAGCUAUGGUCCAACCAAUUACUUUCUUAAAUUUCUUUAGAACAAUAAUUAGUUGCUUCUCUAAAUCUUUCAUCAGUUUCGCUAAAACAAUCACAAGCAAAGUAUAAAAAUCACCUAAAUAAAUGUAUUUCAAAUGGGAAGGAAGUACUUUUAGUUUGAUUUUAGGGGGUUAUUCAAUUGACAACUUGGGUUGCACAAAUUCUCUAACUUCUAAUUCCAAAGGUUCAAACCAUGUGGAUUAAAUAAAAUUUCUAGGAUUGGCUUCCAUUAAAGGGUCAAGGUCUAAGGCUUUCUCUAAUGGAUCUUCUUCAAAAUUACUUUCCAUAGAAACCAAGGUUUCUAUCUCUUCUAUAAUUGAACACUCCUCUGUCAAAUCGGGAAAUUUCAUCACUUUAAGAAUGUUAAAGGUUACCUGAUCGUUUUGAACUCGCAUGAUGAGUUCUCCUUUCUGCACAUUAAUUAACGUUCUUCCCAUGGCUAAGAAAGGUCUCCCAAGGAUGACUGGCACUUUCUUGCCUGCUUCAAAAACUAAGACAAUGAAAUCAACAGGAAAAAUAAAUUUAUUGGCUCUUAUCAAAACAUCCUCGAUCUUUCCUUCGGGAUAUGCUAAAGAUCGAUUUUCUAGCUUAAGUGUCAUAGUUGUAGGUCUUACUUCACCUAUCCCUAACAACUUGAAAAUAGACUUAGGCAUCAAGUUGAUACUCGCUCCUAACUCACACAAAGCUUUACCAUAGUAAGAUUCACCAAUGUUACAGGGUAUAGUAAAGCUUCCUGGGUCUUUCAAUUUCGGUGGCAAUUUGUUCUACAAGAACGCACUGCACUCUUUUUUCAAGGCAACAGUCUCAUACUCACUCAGUCGUUUCUUCUUAGAAAGUAUAUCCUUCAUAAACUUCACAUAAUUUGGCAUUUGUUCUAAAGCCUCCACCAACGGAAUAUUGAUGUGUAACUACUUCAGAACAUCCAAAAACUUCUUGAACUGCACCUCCUAUUUCUGCUUGUGUUGCUGCAAUCUUUGCGGAUAUAGAAGUGAUGGAACUUUUGGUUGAACCGGACAACUUUUUUAAGUAGGUAAAUCUGCAUUUAACUAAGAUGUUAAAAUAUCUUAAUUCACUAAGUCAGGGUUUACCUUGUCAGACUUUGUAGAUUCUGAUUCCUUUGUUGUAGGAACUUCAACAGUUGGUUGAUUCUUUUCAACGGGCUUAUCUUCGACAUCAAUCAAUCGAGUGUUGUUGCUUGGCUUUGGAUCAAAGCGUCAUUCUUUGCCAUGUAUGCUUUCAACAAGUUCACUAAAUUGUUUGAUGCCUCAGCUUGAUGUGGUUUUGGAGCUUGCUGAUUAAACCCUUGAGAUUGGUUGGGUCUUUAUUGCAAUAAGUUGUUGUUCGGACCAUUUCCUUGGUUGCUCCAAGAAAAGUUACGAUGAUCACGCCAUGAAGGAUUGUAGAAGUUAGACUAGGGUCCUUGUCCAUUCCUAUUUUGAUAUUGGUUCCCCACAUAGUACACUGACUCAGGAUUUGAUGGACAAUUCUCAAAAGAAUGACCUUCCCCACUGUAUACACAGGAAAUUACUUCAAACGGACUUGGUGGCUGAGCUGCAGAAUUAUUAGUACUAUUAGUGGUUAAAUUUUUUAUCAUAGAGGUAAUAGACGAUACCUAAGCUGAUAAAGAAGUGAGGGCAUCAACUUCAUGAACUCCGGUUACACGUCUUCUUGAAGCUGUUCGAUUUGUUGGCCAUUGAUAGUUAUUACUCGCGAUCCUCUCGAUGAUCUCAUAAGCCUCAUUAGAAGACUUAGACAAAAUUGCACUAUUCGCGAAAGCAUCUACCAUCAAUCUUGUAUGUGCAUUAAGACCAUUAGAAAAUGUCUCCAACUGGAUAUAAUGAAGAAUCCCAUGAUGAAGACACUUAUGAAGUAACUUCUUGAAUCGUUCUUAAGCCUCAUACAAAGACUCGUCAUCCAAUUGUUGGAAAGUUGUGAUCUCGUUCCUUAACUUAGUGUUUUUUCUAGGUGGGAAAUACUUAACCGAAAAUCUCUCUGCUAAUUCUUGCCAUGUAGAUAUGAAACUGGGUGGCAAUGAAUUAAGCCAUGCUCGUGCUCGAUCUCGCAACGAGUACCAAAACAACUUUAACCUCAGCGCGUCUUCAGUCACACCAGCUAUCUUGAAUGAAUCACUCACCUCCACAAACAAUUGAAGGUAGAGAUGUGGAUCUUCCGUGGGCAUACCACUAAAUUGGCCCACCGUUUGUAGCAUUUGAAACAUCACUGGUUUCAAUUCAAACUGGGUUACCUCAAUAUCUAGCAUUCUAAUUCCUGGGUUUAACUUACUGAAAAGUGGCACAGCAUAUUGUCUGAUGCGUCGAUCCCUAUCAUCGGCAAUGAUGAUAGGAUUUCGUACAUGAUCGGCUUCAUUACCUUGGUCUUGAUUCUGAUUUCCAAGGUCCAUCUUGACUUGUCUUUGAGCUGUUCGUUCACGUCUUCUUUGUCUGAAAGUUAGCUCAAUUUCAGGGUCUACAAUGAGUAAAUUGAUAAUUUGAUCUAUGCUCAUAAACACCUGAAAAGAAAAUCACAAAAACUAAAAAGAAUAAGUUAGUAAUUUUAGAAAUAAAUCAAAUUGAAAGUAAAUAAUUUCACGAAAAAAAUUGACUAUGGCAAGAGUUGACAAUCCCCGGCAACGGCACUAAAAACAUGUAGCGCGUAGGUUUGUGCAAGUGUUCACAGUCGUUAUCAAGUAAUAAGUAAGUAUCGAGUUAUCGUCUCCACAAGGAUUGUAUUUGUGCUAAGUCACUUAAUUUGUAAAAUUAUAUUAACAAUUUGGUAAAUAAAAACACAAUAUAGUUGAGAAGUGGUGAUUAAAAUAUAAUAAACUAAAUGCAAUGAUCCCUAAUGCAAAUUAUCGUAAGUAUGCAAACUAUAUGAAUGAAAUAGAUUUUAGUAAAAUUAAACACAAUUUACAACAAUUAUAACAUAAAUAAACUAGAAUGAUUACUUUAAUUAAACUCAAUUUAUUAUCAACAUGCUUAAUAAGAUUCGAAAAAAUAUUCCAUGACAACUUGAUCUUUCAUGAGUUUGGAAACCACAUUAGGUCCUUUCGAAAUCCUUUACUUAGUAAAUACGCAUUUUACUGAUCCUUAUUUACGAAGGGUUUCUUAGUAUUCGUGUGAGGUAACAGGGACGUGUCAGGUUUGAAACAAUUUAAUCACACAAAUCUAAAAACUAUGCAGAUAACAGAGCUUGGUAGAGUUGUUAUGCAACCUUCAAUUUAAUUGGGUUAGGAUCUAAAUUGAGCAUGCAUAUUUCAAUUAUGUCUCCAUUAGCCGUCGUCUGGUCAGGAUCGCUCAGCUAAUUCAGGUGCAGUUCAAUCACGUAUGAAUGAAAUGCAGACUUGAUUUUAAUUGAAAACAUGAUUGAUUGAGGCACAAACAUUUUAAGGAUGAAUCAAAUUAUUUAAUCAAAGCAAUCAUCCUAGCUUAAAUAAAAUUAAGCUAACAUUGUUGUAAACAAGAACAAAGAACACAUAGCAAACAUUUUUAUAUUAAAUUAAAGAAAAGGAAGAUUAAACCUAAUUCAGAGUGUCUGCCACCCAAGAAUCUGACUGACGAGGCUGCUUUGUUCCUUUACUUUUCUCCUUUGCUGAUGGCUCUCCAAGGUGGCUGACCAAUGGUUCUUUAAGAGGCUUAAUUGCUAAAAUUUCUAUGAAAAGAUGAUGCUAGGUGUGGGAAUGGAAAAGGCUAAGAGAAUUUGGAUAAAAGAGAGAAUGAUGAAUGAUUGAGGGAUGAUUGAGGGAUGCUUGAGGGAUGCUUGAGGGAUGUUUCAGGGAUGAUGAAUGAAGGAAUGAGAGGGUCUUAUUUAUAGGUGAGGAGAGGGGGAUAGUUUGCUAAAAAUAGUGGAUGUGAGCCUUUUCAAAUCUCCUCAAAUUGUGGCCGGCCAUGCUUAGUGGCUUUUGACUUGAUUUUUUUUGCUUGAUUUUUAAGCAAUUUUGGAUGCCACACAACUCAGGGUUGAGGCUCGAUCAAUCGUAAAUCUUCGGGUAAAUCUCUAAUUUCUUCAACACUACAAGGACCUUGUAUAAUUAAACCAAAGAAUGGUUUAAAUGGACAGCCAUGUGUAGCCGAAUAUUGGGUUGACUUGGUCUCCAAUUUAGAUGGUUUUGUAAUCCAUCAAAGCUAACAGACCUAUCCAGAACAAAUUAACAAGUUAGAGGACCAAAGAAUCAAAUUUAUCCAAUUUAAUUAAUUAAUUAAAACCUAAUUUAUUAAUGAAAUAUUUUAAAAUGAAUUAUUAAAUAUGAUUUUAUAUUUUAUUAUUUAAUUUAAUCAUGCAUGGCUCACUUUAUGUCUUAAAAAAUAUAAUAUAUUCAAAGUAAUAUAAAACAAGCCAUUUAUUACAUGAAAACUAUAUGAUAAAGCAUAAAAUCACAUUUUAAUAAUUUCUAUGUCCUAAUUUCAUAUUUUCACAUAUUUCAUUAAUUUAUUAAACAAUAACUUGUUUUAACAAUAAAUUUAAGUAAAAAUAUGAUAAAUUACAUAGGAAAAAUCCUAUAUAUAUUCUCGUUUACAGAAUGACAUGAGCCUUCCAAAUCUAUGUAAAAAGAGUUGUCAGACUCAUAGUAGAACCAGAAGUAAGAGGGAGAGGGAUAGGAGUCGAGAACGAUUGAAACAACCGAUAUUCACUUUGGACCGAGUAACAACCAGUCGGAACCCCAUUCCAAAUAAGCACAUCGUGGCCAACCAAAAAAUAUAAAAGAAUACAGAGGAUACGCGUGGCCUCUUUAGUAGAAAAUAAAGCUUGUAUCAAAGCAACAUUCUAAAGGGCGGAACAAGGGAUAAUUAAAUCACUAACCCAUGAAACAACAGUAGUAACAUGUGUAUGCAGAGAGCCAACAUUCAUUCCAAAUCGAAAUGGAGUAACCAUCACCCACUCCCCAACCCAGUCCCUUUUCCAAUAGUACCCGAGAACACCAAAUACUACGCCAAGUAUAAGAAGGGGGAUAUCCCAACUCGGCCUCUAAGAAAUCUAUAUGCUGAAAGUAGCGAGCCUUCAAAACUCGACUUAAAAGGCUAGUCAGAUUAGUCACAAGACACCAUCCUUUCCUCGCUAGAAAGGCAAUGUUAAAGGUAGUUAAAUCACGAAAGCACAUCCCUCCAACAUUUGGGAGUGCACAACUAGGAUCAGGAACACCAUGGAAUACCCCUACGACAUCCUGAUGUCCACCAUAAAAACUUAUUCAUAAUAACCUCCAAAUCAUAGCAUAGGGAAAUAGGAAACAGAAAACACUGCAUAGUAAACGUGGGGAUCGCCAGUAAAAUUGACUGAAUAAAUACACCCCUACCACCUUGCAAAAGACAUCACAUAUUCCACCUAUCCACACUACGUCAGAACCAAUCCUUAAAGUGUUGGAAAGUAGCUCGUUUGUUUCUCCCAACCAAAGGCGGAAGGCCCAAGUACUUGUCAAAAUGAUCAAUGACACGCACACCUAAAAUCGAUCCAAAAAGAGGUAUCGUAGAAGGGCCAAUAUUGGUGCUAAAAUAUGUUACAGAGUUAUCAAAAUUCACCAAUUAACUUAAAUACCUCACAUAUUCAUGGAGAAUAGAUUAAACUGUGGAGGCACUCUUAGCUAUAGUAAGGCUAAAAAUCAUACAAUCAUCAGUAAAUAAAAGACUCGACUGCCCCAUGCCAACCCCGGGAAAAACCCACGUCUAUUGAGCCAACCUGAACAAAGUAGAGAGCCCCUCCCCAUAUAAAGUAAAGAGAAAAUGACUUAAGGGGUCACCCUGUCGAAGACCACGCGAAGGUAAAAAAAGUCCCCCACACUCCGAUUAAUGACCACAAAGUAGGACACUGUAUGUACAUAAAGAAUUAUCAAAGAGACCCAUGCAGUACAGAAACUCAUCCGGAGCAUAACAGCCUCCAGAAAAUCCCACUCAACCCGGUCAUAGGCCUUGCUCAUAUCAGCUUGAAGGUAAAAAAGCCUAAGUUCCCAUGACGUUUCUAUCGGAAAGAAUAAAUGACCUCAUAUGCAAUAAAGUAGUUGUUAAGAAUAAAUGACCUCAUACGCAAUAAAAUACUGUGUUACGGUCUUUCUGACGUAAUCAAUUCACUCAUGAUUAUUGACACAAAAAUAUCUCCUUCUAAUCCACCUCUAAAUUAAUAUCCAACUUAAUGUCCGUUAUUUCGGCCAAAAUGUCAUCAAAAGGUUUAGCAGCAAUCAAACGGUCCAAUCUAGCGAGAGUAUCCCGUUCAACUCCCUGUUUCGACCGAGUGAGUGCUCUCACGUAGAUAAAGUAAGUCCUAAUGCAUGAAAGCGUGAAGGAAUCGACACACAACUAUCAGACCAUACACGUCAAAUCACGUCUUCACAGGCAGGCUUAGAAACCCAAGGAGACUCAAACAGAAACAAACUCUUAGGCACACCAACAGAACCAGCAGACAAAGUGGCACUAACAGUAACAACAAAAGGACAUUGAUAAAAAAUCCAAUGGGGAGCAUGUCGAACCUGUGAAACAGGAAACCUAUCAUUCCACGAAGGAGUCGCAACACAAUGAUCUAAGUGCUAUCAAAUAUUUGAUGCCGAGAACUUACCCCGUUCCCAAGUAAACCACUGCCCAAAGAGAACCCAAAUCAUGAAGAUCACAGUCAGCCAAAGUAAAAUGAAAAUUCUCUAUUUGUUUAUCUCGAUGAAGUCAACCACCCCAAUUUCUCAAAAGCAUACAUAAUCACAUUAAAGUCGCCAAAAACCAGGAAAGGCAAAUCAAGGUCAAAGUGCAGUCAUCGAAAAAGGUUCCAUGACUCGCUCAUACUCUACUAGCGAACUAUAGAAACCCGUCAGUCGCCAACUAGUCUCAUAUGUAUCAUCAACAAUCACCACAUCUAAAUGGUGAGCUGAAUAACUCUACAAAUGGAUUUGGCAUCUUGGUUUCCAUCCCAAAGAAAGGCCACCCGAGUACCAAUAAUCGAAACAUCUAGACCAUAUAGAAAAUCGAAGCUACGAUGAAUCAACUCCAUCCGUUUAACAUCAAGUUUUGUCUCUAAAAGAAACAGUAGUUGUGGAUUGUAACGACACAGCGUAUGUCGCACACGACAAAUAGUCUGUGGGUUCCCCAAACCAUAAAUAUUCCAACUUAUCAGAUUCAUAAUGGUCUGCUGCUCUAGCUCAGAGAGCCGCUGUAAAAGAAGAAGUCUAUGCAAAAUACGAGGUUGCGGAAACAAUAGAGACAAAAGAACUAAGCCGUGCCUAUUUUUUUCCACCCAAAACAAGUCGAGUUCCUUCUAUGAACACUAUGUAAACUCUGUCAAAAUAGUAAAAUGGUCAUCCACCGUCAUGGCCUCAUAACUAAUCUUAGUGGGAUUCGGUUUGUCCAAAGAUAGACCUAAAGUAGUACCCAUUUCCUGAAUAAAAUCCAAAGUAGAAAACAAUGAAGGGAAAGCGUGUGAGGAAUGCGAUCCAUCCCCCAAAAGUGGUGCAGCAAUCAGUGGGUCAUUGCACAACCAAACACUAGUCAGAGACUGUCGACGACACAGUUGUGCCCGCAGGGAAAUAUCCCACUCCAACGAAACAUCCGUAGAACCAAGAGUCAACCGACGAGGACAGAAACUCUCGCUAUGGCCCAAUUUGUUGCAAAAAAGGGAUAGUCGCUCAUAGGAAAAUCGUGCAUAUACCCAGUGUUGAUAAGUUAAAGCAAGGCGCUUUCUCUGCUUUAAUGAAAUUUGGACAUCCAACUGAGCCCGAAUAUGCAGAAACUGUUGUAGACCAAAACCAGGGGUUGAAGAGUCGAGUCCCAAGAAAAGCACCAAAUUGUCGUGCCAAACUCUCAGUCCUAUACCCCACCAGGAUGUCAUGAAUUUGAACCCAGAAGUCCAAAAAACCCAAGGAUACUUUAAGAAGAUUUUCCCCUGACAUUAAACAAUGAAACACGAGCAAGUGGUUAUUGAAAGUCCAAGGGCUACCUUGGAGCACCCGAUCAAUGUUCACAACCGCAUAAAAUUGAAAUCGAAAGCGUUUCUCACCCAGAUCAGAAAUAGAGACACCCCCAAUGGGAUGCCAAAGAUUUGCCAUUAUAGAGUGCAUGGCUUCAAAUCAGAUCACACUCGCAGUCAGAAAACUACCCACCAAACAUAAAUCAAAACAAGAAACACUGCCUGAAGCAUCAGGGGUAACCAGCCAUGCUUUUUCCUCGUCAUCAUGAAGGGAUAAACCUGCAAUUUCAUCUUCCAUAGUCGAAUAUGAGAAGCAGCAUUCACGCAAAAAAAAAUGGAAAAAUGAAGUUCAGAUAAACAAACAAAGAAACCGCACGUGCCACAAGGCAGACUAGUAUUAGUAUUGAUAAAUAUAUUUUUUAGUAUAGGUGUGUUACAAUUUCUUUUUACACAUAACACUCCCAUCUGAUGCAUUUAUUUCCAAUUCGGAUAAAUUGCUCUUUUACCCCUAGUCUUUUAAAUUAUAUAAAAUAAUUGACUUUAAACAUUAUAUUACAAUUUAUAAAACUUUUUAAAAAUUAAUCUUAUUUGCUAUUGUUUUUAUAUAAUAAAAUUCUUUUCAUAAAUUAAUUUGUCUGUUAGUACAUAAUUUUAUAAUAAAACAUUGGUAUAUCUAUUUAUUAUAAUCAUGUUAACAUAAUAUUUUAAUCAUUUUAACAUCAUAUUUCCAAACUUAAUAAUAAAACAUAUAUUUUAUAUCGUACUAAUGUGUAUUAUCGAUUUUUUAUGUUAAGAUUAAAUUUACGUUAUUUUUAUUUUUCUUAAAAUAAUUACAUUAAUAAAUACUAUAAGUCAGUGUCUUGUACAACUAUACAAAUUAAUAUAAUGCAUGUGAUAAACCCAUAAUAUGAAUGGUUAAUUAAAUGGUAAGAAUUUUUAUGGUGACGAGGUAUGUACUAUGAAACCAAACAAGCACAUGACAUGCAUGAGAACAGAUCAUAAGUCACGAUAGAUUAAAUUUGGAAAGUCAACUUGUGAAGUGCUCAGAUACGAAAGUCAGCUCAAAAGGAAUCCCAAUGAGAGAUCUGGCGGGCAAAGGGAAAU
Molecule: long non-coding RNA, 16625 nt
Organism: Gossypium raimondii (Peruvian cotton)
Lineage: Eukaryota; Viridiplantae; Streptophyta; Magnoliopsida; Malvales; Malvaceae
Exons: 6
Source: RefSeq, a predicted model, not a curated record